UAACACGUAGGAUCCAAGCGUUAUCCGGAUUUACUGGGCGUAAAGCGCGUGCAGGUGGUUUGGUAAGUUGGGUGUUAAAUCUUUCGGCUCAACCGAGAGGUGUCGCUCAAGACUCCCAGACUGGAGGACGGUAGAGGUAGGCAGAAUUCCGGGUGUAGUGGUGAAAUGCGUAGAUAUCCGGAGGAAUACCAGUGGCGAAGGCGGCCUACUGGACCGUUCCUGACACUCAGACGCGAAAGCUAGGGGAGCAAACGGGAUUAGAAACCCCGGUAGUCCUAGCUGUAAACGAUGUGAACUUGGUGUUGGUGGGGUAAAACCUGCCGGUGCCGUAGCUAACGCGAUAAGUUCACCGCCUGGGGACUACGGCCGCAAGGUUA
RNAcentral lists this ribosomal RNA (377 nucleotides) under uncultured bacterium. Its description in RNAcentral is "bacterial SSU rRNA". It matches the Rfam family "Bacterial small subunit ribosomal RNA", at positions 521 to 896 of the family's 1533-position model. The record is from RNAcentral.